CCUCCCCUCUCCAUGAGACUCCCAUGCACAUGCUAAAGCCAGCAGUGGCCUACAUCAUAUAUCUCUAGGCUGGGCUCCGAUACCCUAUACUUGGCUUCCUCUUCUAAGGUACAGGAAGUUCUGCCAUUUUGCAUUCUUAAUUAGUCACUCCUUUAGUCUGUCAGUUAGUUGGUAUAGCAGAUUGAAGAGUAGUCCCCAAAAGAUAUGUCCGCAUCCUAAUCCCCAGAACCUGUGACUAUUACCUUAUUUGGAAAAAGGGUCUCUAUGAAUGUAAUUAAGUUCAGGAUCUUGAGAUUAGGAUAUUAUCCUUGAUUAUCUGUGGAUCAUAAAUCCUAUGACAAAUGUCCUUAUAAGAAUGAGGCAAAGAGAUAUUUGAAAUGGACAGAAGAGGAGGAAGUAAUGUGACCAUGGAGACAGAGAUUCGAGUGGUAUGGCUACAAGCCAAAGAAUGCCAACAUCUGCCAGAAGCUGGAAGAGUCAAGGAACGGAUUGUCCCCUAGAGCCUCUAGAAGGAGUGUGGCCCUACUGACACCUUGAUUUCAGCCCAGGGAUCUGGUUUUUGAACUUCUGGCCUCCAAAACUGUGGAAGAAUACAUUUCUGCCAGUUUAAAGCCACAGUUUGUGGUAAUUCAUUACAGCAGCCAUAGGAAAUGAAUAUGGUUGGGUACUUCUUUAGUUGUUCCUUCCUGAUGGGAUUUACUGGCUCCUUCAGGGAACUUCCAAAUGCUGGAAUGCCCCAGGCUCAGUCCUCAGAGCUUUCUUUGACUAUUCUCUCUCUUUGUGACCUCAUCCAUUCACUUGGCAUCAAAAUACCACUUAUUUGCUAAAACUCUCCACAUUUUAUCUCCUCCCAGACCCUUCUCAUGGAGCCCAAACAUCUUCACAGAUUGCAAGUUCCAUGAGGAAGCAGGCAGAAAGGGCCCUUACCCUGGGCUCACCUGUAGAUGGCCACGCUCUUGCUCUACUCUGGCCACACUCCAUUCCACACACUGAGAAGUAACCGGGCCCAAGAGGAUGGAUCCAUGGGGAGCCCAUUCUCCCAUUCUAGAUUAUAAAUCAGGGAUUUCCUUCUGUCACAUCAAAAUGUACCUGUCCAAUGGCUCUCCAUUAGCCUAGGAGCACCUGGAGGAUAGGACCAUUCUUCAUCCAUCCUCAAGUUCCUACCAUGCUCACUGUUUGCCCCAUGCUCACAUCAGAGAUCUACCCCUCAAAUCAGAUGGGGCUCCAUGAUGGCUGAAACAGGGCAGAAAGGAAGGACAGAGAACACAGCAAGGAGAUCUGCAGCUCCCUGAGCAGCCAGAGGCUUCUUCCCCACUUUUAAAGCCCAGGUUGGGUCCUGACGACCUGUGAGCCCUCCAAGGGAGGCUCAGUCCAUGCACGCUGGCGGCAGACUGAGGCAGGCCUGUGUCCUGAGGUCCUGCAGCGUGGCACUUGUGGCUGGGAGGCCACAAUCAAGGCAGCUUCGUGAGAACAAGAACAGGUGGCAGGCCUGCAACUCAAAUCCCUUUCUCUAACACAUGGCCAGGAAAGAGACUAUGGGCACUGACCAAAGAGUGCUCUCGAAAUCUUCUCCUUUUACUCAGCUCCCAAAGAUGAAUUUGUCAAAUAGCUACUUAAAAAAGCAAAACAAAACAGAAAACAAACAUGUGUUUCCAUUUCAACUACAAUCGGCAGUUGGUAAUUUUUAGAAAAAGACUUGAGUUGCUGUUAAAUUUGUCUCUUUUAUCAGG
Neofelis nebulosa (Clouded leopard) is the source of this 1730-nucleotide long non-coding RNA. RefSeq lists it as uncharacterized. NCBI's taxonomy places the organism in Eukaryota, Metazoa, Chordata, Mammalia, Carnivora, Felidae. The transcript is spliced from 4 exons. The record is from RefSeq and is a predicted model, not a curated record.